UUCUUCACUAGUUCUCCAAUACAUAUACUUGGAAAAAUACAGUUCGAAAAUCUGAUUUCUGAAUCUGUUUUUCAGAAAGCCUAUGAAGUCAGUGAUGACUUGCCUUGUUAUAGGUCACAAAGCAUGAGUUGUGAAUGUUAGUUAGUUAAACCUCAUGUAGAACUCCAUGAGGAAGAUAAUACUUGUGUUAAACCAGCAACUUAAAAGUUAUGUCUAUCAGUCAGCUGCUAAUUCUAUUUUUCUCUAAUUGUCUCGCAGACUAAAGCAUUUUCCACGUAAUGACUGACUGUGAUUUCUUUUGCUUGCAUUGCCCUUUUCAAAACUUUUCUUCAUUCCUCAGGGCUGGAGUGACCUUUAUAUCUAUAUAAAUGCCUCUCAGAUCAUUACACUUCACCAUAAAGCAGAACUCAAGGAAGAAAACCGAUCACUCCACUAUGCAUUUGCGCUGAGAUGCACGAGGGAUGGUGUCACACAGCAACACGCUGCUUCAACACGCACAGCAAGAAUUCAGCCUUCUGCAGACAUGUCUGCUGACGUAGAAGGGUUCCUCACCAGUGAGUAUUUCUAAUAAUAGACAGGAAAUUAAUCUUAUUCGUUUGUUUUAUUGAGCCUGUUCUUGUUUGGGGCAUACAUCUCAUCAGGACAAAAUAAUAAUAAAACAACUCUGAAAUAAUAGGCAUAGCCACACUAUACUGUGCUUGAUUAUAGAUCUGGUUAGCUCCUAGCUGAGUGGAGGUGUGAUGUUCAAGUUAUCAGGGGCUCAUCUAUCAAAGGAAAACCUGCACGGGGUAAGGACUGCUCAUGUAAGGAAUGUGGAAACUUUGAAGAGAGAGAUGACAUUGGCAGAAGUGCUUUUCCCACAAGCAGCAGAGACCAAGCAGACCUCUCCCUCUGGAACUGAACUGGUUUCAGGUUGGAACAUUAGCAGCUUACAUGGCUUCUGCUGCCCACAGCAGCAGGCCUGGGCUCUGACACACAGCUUCCCUUCCAGCUCUGGGUUUGCUCUUGAGUGCCUCCUUACUGUGUGCAGAGGAAGGAGGUGUGAGAACUGGGCAUUUCUUCCCCCUCUUGCUUUUAUCCAGUGUCAUCAGUAGAUGAGUCACUUUCUCCUGUAAUCCAGGUAGUUAUGAAGUGUCUGGGUGAUUAAUGUGGGUGAGGGCACACACCUUCCCAGCGUUCUUCAGCACAGCUUCACAGCAUGAAUAUAUACAUAAUAAAAGACUAUCAAAGCUGAGAGUCAGUAUUUGCUGAAAUAAAGACACUGGAAAUGA
Molecule: non-coding RNA, 1271 nt
Organism: Coturnix japonica (Japanese quail)
Lineage: Eukaryota; Metazoa; Chordata; Aves; Galliformes; Phasianidae
Source: RefSeq, a predicted model, not a curated record